This 87-nucleotide transfer RNA is filed under the name Escherichia coli. RNAcentral's name for it is "tRNA-Leu". It matches the Rfam family "tRNA". From Rfam's summary of the family: Transfer RNA (tRNA) molecules are approximately 80 nucleotides in length. Lineage: Bacteria; Pseudomonadati; Pseudomonadota; Gammaproteobacteria; Enterobacterales; Enterobacteriaceae. The record is from RNAcentral. RNAcentral also lists the same sequence under 2 other names.
GCGAAGGUGGCGAAAUUGGUAGACGCGCUAGCUUCAGGUGUUAGUGUUCUUACGGACGUGGGGGUUCAAGUCCCCCCCCUCGCACCA